AGUAACGCGUGGGAAUCUACCGUACCCUACGGAAUAGCUCCGGGAAACUGGAAUUAAUACCGUAUACGCCCUUUGGGGGAAAGAUUUAUCGGGGUAUGAUGAGCCCGCGUUGGAUUAGCUAGUUGGUGGGGUAAAGGCCUACCAAGGCGACGAUCCAUAGCUGGUCUGAGAGGAUGAUCAGCCACAUUGGGACUGAGACACGGCCCAAACUCCUACGGGAGGCAGCAGUGGGGAAUAUUGGACAAUGGGCGCAAGCCUGAUCCAGCCAUGCCGCGUGAGUGAUGAAGGUCUUAGGAUUGUAAAGCUCUUUCACCGAUGAAGAUAAUGACGGUAGUCGGAGAAGAAGCCCCGGCUAACUUCGUGCCAGCAGCCGCGGUAAUACGAAGGGGGCUAGCGUUGUUCGGAAUUACUGGGCGUAAAGCGCACGUAGGCGGAUAAUUAAGUCAGGGGUGAAAUCCCGCAGCUCAACUGCGGAACUGCCUUUGAUACUGGUUAUCUUGAGUAUGGAAG
RNAcentral lists this ribosomal RNA (510 nucleotides) under Gillisella vitis. Its description in RNAcentral is "bacterial SSU rRNA". It matches the Rfam family "Bacterial small subunit ribosomal RNA", at positions 109 to 654 of the family's 1533-position model. The record is from RNAcentral. Lineage: Bacteria; Pseudomonadati; Pseudomonadota; Alphaproteobacteria; Hyphomicrobiales; Rhizobiaceae.